UUUGCAAUGUCGUUCUGAGUUCUCGAUCUGUUUUCUGCCUAUUUUGACGAUUCACUCUGUUUUUAAGGGUAUAAAUUCUGCUUCAGAGAGGGCUUCACCAUCUUUGUGGUUCCUCCAAUAACCAGUUCGGUGUUUUCUUUAUCUUCAGAUUCGACAAAGGUGGGUAUUCAAUCGGUUGCAAUGGUAGUAGAAGGUUGUAGAAUCCGGCUGAGCACGUGGCAGCAGGUGGCGGUGGCAUUGGGAUCGGUGGUGGAGGCUUCGUUGGCUCCGCUAAGUACAGAUUUGAUAGCCGCUCAAAUAUGAAACGUAGUCGUCGAGAAGAACAAGGUCUAUUUGCUGUUUGGAAAUAUCUAUUUUUAUUUCAAAAUGUUGGCUUUGGUAUGGUUUUAAACACGAUGUGUUCUUUCCGUUAAAGUUUGUAAUCUUGCAUGUCUCUGUUCGUUUUGUUUUAAAGAUAUAUUUUAUGAGGCAGGUAGACAUAAUUUCAUUUUCAUUCUAUUUCAAAAUUUGUAGAAUUUUUAUUGGUAUUUGAGCUUCUUGAGUAUCAUGUUAUUGAGAAUUAUGUGUUUGAGAUUAAGAAACACAAUGCAACUGCUGAGUUAUUGGGAAUUUUUGGUAGUGAAAAUGUCAAAAAUGCUAUCUUUAUACAUUUUAUACAAGGGGAUGGAAGGGAAUGGUAUUGUGCGGCGCCGCUCCUUCUUACCAAAUACUUUGUACAUGAUAAUGGGUAAGUUAUUUUUAGAUCAUGCAAUCAUUACCCAGUAAACAGAAAAGUCAGUUAUUUAAACCAAGCUCUAAAAGAUUGAUUCUUUUCGUUAUGUGGUCCUUCUCUUCAUAGACUUUGUUUGGCAUCACUUUUCUUUUUCUUCAAUUUUAUGCCCCUUCCCGAUGACAAUGCUCAAUGUUUUGUUCAUAUGGUAAGAAUUGAAAAUUUUGAAACUAGAAUUGAUAAAUCAUUCAAUCAUUACCCACUAACCAUAAACUUUAGUUAUUUAUUGUUGGCUCAAAAAGCUUGAUUCUUUUCAAUAUUUAGUUUCUCUUCUCUUCUCCUUUGAGGUCAUGGACACAACAAAUCCUGUCGGGUUUGUGAAUGCCCAGGUCCUUCCAAUUUUAUACGAAAGAAUGCGUGAACUGUGGUUCAGGUGAAUAUUUCUGAAGGUGAGGUUACCGCUGCAAAAUCCACUGGUGAUUCUCAGAUAACCAUGAAAAAGCAGCUACAAGUCCCUCUCAUGAACUAUAUUGAGGAUUUGAGGUUCAAUUGAAUGUCAAGUGAUCUGGAGAGACAAUCAAUGACAUACAUCUAUGCCCACAAUGCAAGAGAGAGAAAUGAGAAAGAAGAAGGUUUAGGAAUCUUCAUAUGCUCUUUUUAGUCUUGGGGAACAGACAGUAUGAUAAUUUUAACAUGGUUUGCAUUUAAAAUUCUGCUUUUUUUAUGAAUUUAUAAGCUUUGAGUCCAGUGAUAGAGUUGCUACUUCCUGUGCUAUAUCUCAUCCCUAUGUGAAUUGAUUCAAAUGGCGAACGUAGUGGAUGAGAAGCUUUUAGAAUUUCACAUUUCAGACUUUGGGGUUGUGUAAGUACCUGUAGGACCUGUGGCGAAGGAGUGGAAGGAGCAUAUCCCUUACCCUAAUAGAAGACUUUAUUUAUUUCUCUUACAUGUACUGUAAAGCCAUUUAUGUUGAUAAACAAUUUCAAAAUGAUAUACCGAUGUUGGUUAGUCACAAGCUACUGAAAAUUUUCCUAAAUA
Lotus japonicus is the source of this 1744-nucleotide long non-coding RNA. RefSeq lists it as uncharacterized. The transcript is spliced from 3 exons. NCBI's taxonomy places the organism in Eukaryota, Viridiplantae, Streptophyta, Magnoliopsida, Fabales, Fabaceae. The record is from RefSeq and is a predicted model, not a curated record.